RNAcentral lists this ribosomal RNA (352 nucleotides) under uncultured bacterium. RNAcentral's name for it is "bacterial SSU rRNA". It matches the Rfam family "Bacterial small subunit ribosomal RNA", at positions 917 to 1267 of the family's 1533-position model. The record is from RNAcentral.
GGGCCCGCACAAGCGGUGGAGUAUGUGGUUUAAUUCGAUGCAACGCGAACGAAGCCUUACCAGGGGUUUAGCAUCCUGCUGAAUUUGACAGGGAAACCGAAUGUGCCUUCGGAACGCAGUGACAGGUGGUGCAUGGCUGUCGUCAGCUCGUGUCGUGAGAUGUUGGUUAAGUCCCGCAACGAGCGCAACCCACGUCUUUAGUUGCCAGCAUUUAGUUGGGCACUCUAGAGAGACUGCCGGUGAUAAACCGGAGGAAGGUGUGGAUGACGUCAAGUCAUCAUGCCCCUUACAUCCUGGGCUACACACGUACUACAAUGCUACGGACAAAGGGCAGCAAGUUCGCGAGGACAAG